This 307-nucleotide unclassified non-coding RNA is filed under the name Hevea brasiliensis (rubber tree). Lineage: Eukaryota; Viridiplantae; Streptophyta; Magnoliopsida; Malpighiales; Euphorbiaceae. The record is from RNAcentral.
CCCCACUAUACUUUGUCGUGAAGAACUAUAAUUAUAGCUCUUCACGACAAAGUAUAGUGGGGGACCAAUUCUAAGAUACUCUGAAACAUUAUUAAAAUAGCCCUGAAGAUAUGAGUUCCGUGGAAGAACAAUCUUCUGUUCCAAACCAGGUUCCUAGUGGAUAAUGCAAUACUAGCCAAUGCAAAGCCAAUAAAGAUGGAAAUGACAACUAUCUUAACUCCCCAAAGACUGAGCACAGGCGCAUGGACCCUCUUCAUAUAUUGAGCCAGCAAUCCAGGCCUUCCCCCACCAAUGCCUUUAUCAGAUU